GGAGAGGUGCCAGAGUGGCCGAAUGGACUUGACUCGAAAUCAAGAGACUCUAAUCUCAGGGUCCCAGGGUUCGAAUCCCUGCCUCUCCG
RNAcentral lists this transfer RNA (89 nucleotides) under Achromatium sp. WMS1. It matches the Rfam family "tRNA". From Rfam's summary of the family: Transfer RNA (tRNA) molecules are approximately 80 nucleotides in length. Lineage: Bacteria; Pseudomonadati; Pseudomonadota; Gammaproteobacteria; Thiotrichales; Thiotrichaceae. The record is from Rfam by way of RNAcentral.